GUGCCAGCCGCCGCGGUAAUACAGAGGUCUCAAGCGUUGUUCGGAUUCAUUGGGCGUAAAGGGUGCGUAGGUGGCGCCGUAAGUCAGGUGUGAAAUUUCGGAGCUUAACUCCGAAACUGCAUUUGAUACUGCGGUGCUUGAGGACUGGAGAGGAGACUGGAAUUUACGGUGUAGCAGUGAAAUGCGUAGAGAUCGUAAGGAAGACCAGUGGCGAAGGCGGGUCUCUGGACAGUUCCUGACACUGAGGCGCGAAGGCCAGGGGAGCGAACGGGAUUAGAUACCCCGGUAGUCCUGGCAGUAAACGGUGCACGUUUGGUGUGGGGGGAUUCGACCCCUUCCGCGCCGGAGCUAACGCGUUAAACGUGCCGCCUGGGGAGUACGGUCGCAAGAUUAAAACUCAAAGAAAUUGACGGGGGCCCGCACAAGCGGUGGAGUAUGUGGCUUAAUUCGAUGCAACGCGAAGAACCUUACCAGGCCUUGACAUGCAUUUCUAAGCGGGUGAAAGCCCGUGAGUCUCGAAAGAGACAACUUGCACAGGUGCUGCAUGGCUGUCGUCAGCUCGUGUCGUGAGAUGUUGGGUUAAGUCCCGCAACGAGCGCAACCCCUGUGAACUGUUGCCACCCUCUUGAUUGAGGAGCACUCUGUUCAGACUGCCCUGUGAAGCUGGGAGGAAGGUGGGGACGACGUCAAGUCAGUAUGGCCCUUACGGCCUGGGCUGCACACGUACUACAAUGCUCAGCACAGAACGAUCCGAGACCGCGAGGUGGAGGAAAUCUAGUAAAACUGAGCUCAGUUCGGAUUGGAGGCUGCAACUCGCCUCCAUGAAGCUGGAAUCGCUAGUAAUGCCGUAUCAGCUACGACGGCGUGAAUACGUUCCCGGGCCUUGCACUCACCGCCCGUC
This 901-nucleotide ribosomal RNA is filed under the name uncultured bacterium. Its description in RNAcentral is "bacterial SSU rRNA". It matches the Rfam family "Bacterial small subunit ribosomal RNA", at positions 505 to 1398 of the family's 1533-position model. The record is from RNAcentral.